This is a non-coding RNA of Bombyx mori (domestic silkworm), 83 nucleotides long. The record is from Rfam. Lineage: Eukaryota; Metazoa; Arthropoda; Insecta; Lepidoptera; Bombycidae.
UUAGCUCAAAUUUGUAUGGAAUGGGAUCGUUGCGUACGUUUGUCGCUAGGGGCGCUGUUCCAACUGCACACAAAAUUGGGUUA